UCCUGGCUCAGGAUGAACGCUAGCGACAGGCUUAACACAUGCAAGUCGAGGGGCAGCAUAAAAGUAGCAAUACUUGGUGGCGACCGGCGCACGGGUGAGUAACGCGUAUGCAACCUACCUAUCAGGAGGGGAAUAACCCGGCGAAAGUCGGACUAAUACCGCAUAAAACAGGGGCACCGCAUGGUGAUAUUUGUUAAAGAAAUUCGCUGAUAGAUGGGCAUGCGUUCCAUUAGGUAGUUGGUGAGGUAACGGCUCACCAAGCCGACGAUGGAUAGGGGAACUGAGAGGUUGGUCCCCCACACUGGUACUGAGACACGGACCAGACUCCUACGGGAGGCAGCAGUGAGGAAUAUUGGUCAAUGGGCGGGAGCCUGAACCAGCCAAGUCCGCGUGAAGGAAGAAGGAUCUAUGGUUCGUAAACUUCUUUUGCAGGGGAAUAAAGUGCAGGACGUGUCCUGUUUUGUAUGUACCCUGAGAAUAAGGAUCGGCUAACUCCGUGCCAGCCGCCGC
RNAcentral lists this ribosomal RNA (510 nucleotides) under uncultured bacterium. Its description in RNAcentral is "bacterial SSU rRNA". It matches the Rfam family "Bacterial small subunit ribosomal RNA", at positions 17 to 518 of the family's 1533-position model. The record is from RNAcentral.